UUUAUGGAGAGUUUGAUCCUGGCUCAGGAUGAACGCUGGCGGCGUGCCUAAUACAUGCAAGUCGAGCGAACAGACGAGGAGCUUGCUCCUCUGACGUUAGCGGCGGACGGGUGAGUAAC
RNAcentral lists this ribosomal RNA (119 nucleotides) under Staphylococcus epidermidis. Its description in RNAcentral is "partial 16S ribosomal RNA". It matches the Rfam family "Bacterial small subunit ribosomal RNA", at positions 1 to 114 of the family's 1533-position model. The record is from RNAcentral. Lineage: Bacteria; Bacillati; Bacillota; Bacilli; Caryophanales; Staphylococcaceae.